GGCCAUGUCACGUUCAAACAUCUGUCCCCGUACGAUCAGCGAAGUUAAGCAACGUCGAGUCUGGUCAGUACCUAGAUGGGUAACCGCUUGGGAAUACCAGGUGAUGCAAG
Acanthosepion pharaonis is the source of this 110-nucleotide non-coding RNA. The record is from the annotation of a GenBank genome assembly. Lineage: Eukaryota; Metazoa; Mollusca; Cephalopoda; Sepiida; Sepiidae.